UCGAGUUUUGAAAUGGGUUGAUGCUGGCCUUGAAUAUAAAAGAGGCAUGUGCUCGCCCUGCUCAUCCACUCUUAACACCUGUGCACCUAUUGUGGGUCUAAUGGGAAUAAGCUGGGGUUGGUUAACGACCUUGGUGGAAGCCUUGACUCAUGUAUUUAUACACCCUAUUGUAUGUCUAGAAUGUCUACUUGUGUAUUUAAAUACGCAUAUAUA
RNAcentral lists this unclassified non-coding RNA (213 nucleotides) under uncultured Basidiomycota. RNAcentral's name for it is "sequence contains ITS1". The record is from RNAcentral. Lineage: Eukaryota; Fungi; Basidiomycota.